AUGACCUACAGGGGGCAGCAGUGAGGAAUAUUGGUCAAUGGGCGGAAGCCUGAACCAGCCAAGUCGCGUGAGGGAUUAAGGCCCUACGGGUCGUAAACCUCUUUUGCCGGGGAGCAAGGGCGGGGACGUGUCUCGGCCCGGAGAGUACCCGGAGAAAAAGCAUCGGCUAACUCCGUGCCGGCAGCCGCGGUAAUACGGAGGAUGCGAGCGUUAUCCGGAUUUAUUGGGUUUAAAGGGUGCGUAGGCGGGCUUUUAAGUCAGCGGGAAAAAU
This 271-nucleotide ribosomal RNA is filed under the name uncultured bacterium. RNAcentral's name for it is "partial 16S ribosomal RNA". It matches the Rfam family "Bacterial small subunit ribosomal RNA", at positions 334 to 601 of the family's 1533-position model. The record is from RNAcentral.